GACAAACCGAUGAAUAAGAAGAGUAAAAACAGCAAAAGCUGUCUGUCAGAGAGCUGCCGCAGGUGAAAGUGCAGUGUCAGUGGCUGUUUUGAAUGGACUUAUGAGGGCGGCCCGAACAAACCUUUAUUUUAGUAGGCGUCGACGGAACCUGCACCGUUAUCACAGCAGAGAAGAUUCGGAACCUUGUUCCUGAUCCUUAAAGUGGGUUUAACAAAACCAAUUUGGGUGGCACCACAGGAGAAAGCUCUUGUCCCUGUU
This 258-nucleotide non-coding RNA is filed under the name Clostridium sp. RNAcentral's name for it is "T-box sequence". It matches the Rfam family "T-box leader". From Rfam's summary of the family: Uncharged tRNA acts as the effector for transcription antitermination of genes in the T-box leader family. T-boxes are found upstream of many aminoacyl-tRNA synthetase genes and some amino acid biosynthetic genes usually in Gram-positive bacteria. The record is from RNAcentral. Lineage: Bacteria; Bacillati; Bacillota; Clostridia; Eubacteriales; Clostridiaceae.